RNAcentral lists this long non-coding RNA (258 nucleotides) under Lathyrus oleraceus (garden pea). Its description in RNAcentral is "Pisum sativum (pea) long non-coding RNA (PSAT_LNC008114)". The record is from RNAcentral. Lineage: Eukaryota; Viridiplantae; Streptophyta; Magnoliopsida; Fabales; Fabaceae.
UUCCACCUCAACCCAAACCAUAAUCCCCAAACUCCAUUCCCUCAAACAAACUACUUUUACAACCAACAAUAUCAACAACAAACCAACCUACGCCCACCCAUACAAUACACUCCAAUUCCUCAACCAAACUUUGAAUACUCAAACCCUCAUUCUCAACCCCAACCUUCUAACACCACAUACGCACAUCCCACUCCCACAUACAACCCUGAUGAUGUGUAUUAUCCUCCUAUCCAACACACCCGACCCGAAACCUACACA